AACGCACAUUGCGCCCUCUGGUAUUCCGGAGGGCAUGCCUGUUCGAGCGCCAUGUAAAGAUAUAUCAAGCACUGCUUGGCUUUGGGCCUCUCCGCCCCCGUCACAGGGGGCGGGCCCUAAAUACGUCGGCGGCGGCCACUGGCCUCGAGCGUAGUAGAUUAUUCCGUCUACGAGCGCCCUUGACCGCCCGCUUCUAGACCCCAAAACAUACCCAUGACAUUGACCUCGGAUCAGGUAGGGAUACCCGCUGAACUUAA
This 257-nucleotide unclassified non-coding RNA is filed under the name Dothiora sp. RNAcentral describes it as "partial contains 5.8S ribosomal RNA, internal transcribed spacer 2, and large subunit ribosomal RNA". Lineage: Eukaryota; Fungi; Ascomycota; Dothideomycetes; Dothideales; Dothioraceae. The record is from RNAcentral.